CUCAGGAUAGCCCGUCUCAGCCACGCCGCUCGUCAAAAAAAAAAAAGGGCCAUCGCAAGGUCAGCCGGUAGGGCACGCCGCCGUUCGCUCGUCGGCACCCCGGCGUCCCAAUCGUGCCCGCGUGCGCCGCCACCCCUGCUUCCCGCUCGUCGCCGUCCCGGCAUCCCGCUUGUACCCACGUGCGCCGCCGUUUUGCCUCCGCCGGCGCCACCACUGCUCCCUGCUCGUCGCCGCCGGUGGUGCAAGAUGAAGGGUGCUGCGAGGGACGAGCACAAGAAGCCGGCAGAGGAGGAGAACAAUACUCCGGCGUGGGAGGAUGUGGAUCCGGCGAGAAAGCAGGUCCAAGAUUGAUGCGGGAGAGGUGCAGCAGCUGUAUGGUGCCGCUGAGAAGAUCCACCCUGGGGUUGAUGCACAGCCGGAAGGCGAGGACUGCGACGACCACAAAAAGAAGGGGCAGGUCUUCUAUCCUUCAGACCGGCCAACAGAGCAGUUUGUUCUACCAAGCAAGCAAAUGCAGUGAAGAAACCACCACCGCCGGUUUUUCACAGCCGAAGCACAUACUCUCAGACGUGAACGCAGCGGCGACAAGAAUAGGAGAUGACGACGAAGUAUUGAUCUGACAAGUAACACAUGCCAGGUCAGUGCACUUUUAAUAAGAAGUGCAUUCAUGUAUCAGUAUUUCAGUAUUGCAGAUACUUUUCUGGUUCAAGUACCCUGAAUGAGAGGAAUGAAUGUAAGAAGAGAAGCGGAAAUUUUGUUGGCAAGUAAGCAAGCCCCUGAGACCAUCCAUCAUCUUGUUGUCCAUGCAUGAAGUAGUCUUGUUUGUCAGUCGAUCUGCAGUAGUUGGUGCUCUUACCAAUCUAGUUGGUGGUCUGGUU
Non-coding RNA from Triticum urartu, 878 nucleotides. Lineage: Eukaryota; Viridiplantae; Streptophyta; Magnoliopsida; Poales; Poaceae. The record is from RefSeq and is a predicted model, not a curated record.